This 831-nucleotide ribosomal RNA is filed under the name Fusarium solani. Its description in RNAcentral is "eukaryotic LSU rRNA". It matches the Rfam family "Eukaryotic large subunit ribosomal RNA", at positions 74 to 935 of the family's 3401-position model. The record is from RNAcentral. Lineage: Eukaryota; Fungi; Ascomycota; Sordariomycetes; Hypocreales; Nectriaceae. RNAcentral also lists the same sequence under 1 other name.
AUUGCCCCAGUAACGGCGAGUGAAGCGGCAACAGCUCAAAUUUGAAAUCUGGCUCUCGGGCCCGAGUUGUAAUUUGUAGAGGAUGCUUUUGGUGAGGUGCCUUCCGAGUUCCCUGGAACGGGACGCCAUAGAGGGUGAGAGCCCCGUCUGGUUGGACGCCGAACCUCUGUAAAGCUCCUUCGACGAGUCGAGUAGUUUGGGAAUGCUGCUCUAAAUGGGAGGUAUAUGUCUUCUAAAGCUAAAUACCGGCCAGAGACCGAUAGCGCACAAGUAGAGUGAUCGAAAGAUGAAAAGAACUUUGAAAAGAGAGUUAAACAGUACGUGAAAUUGUUGAAAGGGAAGCGCUUGUGACCAGACUUGGGCUUGGUUGAUCAUCCGGGGUUCUCCCCGGUGCACUCUUCCGGCCCAGGCCAGCAUCAGUUCGCCCUGGGGGACAAAGGCAUCGGGAACGUGGCUCUCUCCGGGGAGUGUUAUAGCCCGUUGCGUAAUACCCUGCGGCGGACUGAGGUUCGCGCAUUCGCAAGGAUGCUGGCGUAAUGGUCAUCAGUGACCCGUCUUGAAACACGGACCAAGGAGUCGUCUUCGUAUGCGAGUGUUCGGGUGUCAAACCCCUACGCGAAAUGAAAGUGAACGCAGGUGAGAGCUUCGGCGCAUCAUCGACCGAUCCUGAUGUUAUCGGAUGGAUUUGAGUAAGAGCAUACGGGGCCGGACCCGAAAGAAGGUGAACUAUGCCUGUGUAGGGUGAAGCCAGAGGAAACUCUGGUGGAGGCUCGCAGCGGUUCUGACGUGCAAAUCGAUCGUCAAACAUGGGCAUGGGGGCGAAAGACUAAU